Molecule: long non-coding RNA, 310 nt
Filed under: Hordeum vulgare
Lineage: Eukaryota; Viridiplantae; Streptophyta; Magnoliopsida; Poales; Poaceae
Description: long non-coding RNA (HVUL_LNC016962)
Source: RNAcentral
UUUUUUUAUCGGUCAGGAAUUAAAGUGUUCAUAACGGAAAGUGUCCAUGUAACAUAGGAACUAGUGGAACAUAGGAAAUAGUCAGUGUCAUAACAUAGGAAAUUUCACCACCUUAUUCUAAAAUUACAGUAGGAUAGUAAGUACGAAAAACAUAGUUUUGACACGACAUAUGCCUGGUAUAGAUAUAGAUGUAUAUUGAAUCACCGUUCUCGCAAGAGCACCAGGCAAAAUAGGAUCAUUCUUGUUCUGACAUCUAGUUGUUAGAAUAAUGGACUUCAAAGGUUCGGUCUUCUGUGUUGUAUGUUAUGCU